AUUGAACGCUGGCGGCAUGCCUUACACAUGCAAGUCGAACGGCAGCACGGGGGCAACCCUGGUGGCGAGUGGCGAACGGGUGAGUAAUGCAUCGGAACGUGCCCAGUAGUGGGGGAUAACUAGUCGAAAGAUUAGCUAAUACCGCAUACGACCUAUGGGUGAAAGCGGGGGAUUCGCAAGAACCUCGCGCUAUCGGAGCGGCCGAUGUCUGAUUAGCUAGUUGGCGGGGUAAAAGCCCACCAAGGCGACGAUCAGUAGCUGGUCUGAGAGGACGACCAGCCACACUGGGACUGAGACACGGCCCAGACUCCUACGGGAGGCAGCAGUGGGGAAUUUUGGACAAUGAGCGCAAGCCUGAUCCAGCCAUGCCGCGUGC
RNAcentral lists this ribosomal RNA (376 nucleotides) under uncultured bacterium. RNAcentral's name for it is "bacterial SSU rRNA". It matches the Rfam family "Bacterial small subunit ribosomal RNA", at positions 30 to 404 of the family's 1533-position model. The record is from RNAcentral.